Molecule: ribosomal RNA, 301 nt
Filed under: uncultured bacterium
Lineage: Bacteria
Description: partial 16S ribosomal RNA
Rfam family: Bacterial small subunit ribosomal RNA
Source: RNAcentral
CAGUCGCCGCGGUAAUACAGAGGAUGCAAGCGUUAUCCGGAAUGAUUGGGCGUAAAGGGCUCGCAGGCGGUUUCUUAAGUCUGAUGUGAAAGCCCCCGGCUCAACCGGGGAGGGUCAUUGGAAACUGGGAAACUUGAGUGCAGAAGAGGAGAGUGGAAUUACACGUGUAGCGGUGAAAUGCGUAGAGAUGUGGAGGAACACCAGUGGCGAAGGCGACUCUCUGGUCUGUAACUGACGCUGAGGAGCGAAAGCGUGGGGAGCGAACAGGAUUAGAUACCCCUGUAGUCCCUGUCUCUUAUAC